CUGUACAAGCACAAUUUCGCUCGGGCCUAAACAAACCUAAACCUACCCAGACCCAAAUACUAACCCGAUUCAAAACAAGCCCAAACAUUAUGGCCCAAACCCAACAAAGACUAGGGUUUCAGAACCCUAGCCCCUUCCACAUGCGCCGUACCAUUCUGACCCCUGCUCUGCCAUCGCCGCACAUCCCAUCAGCGCCGACGCCGUUCACUCCUACCUCUGACGCCGCACCUACUCCUGCAAAAACAGAUGCCAAACAGAGAGAAACAAGCAAAGGCACAGGAGAUAAUAGCAAAGCUCAAUUUAUUUUUAUUUUAUUUUAUUUCGGGUAUAAAAAACGAUUUGUAAACCGAAAUGGGGGGAUUUUUCGGAGUUUUUUCUCUUUCGGCAAAAGCCGAACACUGUAAAAGGGGAUUCUUUUUUUUGUUUCUUUUGUAACAUUUCACAAAACCAAGAAAUAUAAAAAUCAAAGGUGAUUUUCGUUUUGCAUUUCUUUCUUUUUUUAUCUCUUUUUUAUUGUUGUUUAUUUUUAUUUUUAUUUAUUUAUUUAUUUAUUUUGAAAAACAGUUUACAUUUGCAAAAAAGAAAAAAAAUAUAAAGAGAAAGAGCAAAAAAAAUACCUUUUCUGUUUUUCGGCCACCGUGUACGGUGCCGGCAUGGUGGCGCUACGGCGUUGGCUCGCCGGAAGCUUGGCCGGAUUUUGGGGAGAAGAAAGGGGGAGAGAGAGAAAAUUUUCGGAUUUUUUUUUCUGAAAAGAGGGGGAAAUGAAAUUUUUUGGAAAAUUUUUGAAAUAUAUAGGACUGUGAAACGGCGCCGUUUUGGCCCAUCUCCAAAAUGCCCAAAACGACGCCGUUUUGUCUUGGAUCGGACCGACCCGACCCGAACCGCCAAGGAUCCGCGUGUUUCUGGAUAAAAGGGGUUAUUUGCGCUCCUGGUCCUUCCGCUUUUGAGGCUGUUUACGAUUGGGUCCUAUUUUGUUUUUGUUUUUCAAUUUUGCCACAAAAUUUCAUUUUUCUCUCGAUUUGGUCCUCAAUGAAGCUGUGCGUUUUAGAGGAGAAGGGAAAUUGUCCCUUCCAGCCCCUCUAUGUUAUUCGCACAUUCAAAUCAAUCCCUCCUUUUUUUAUUUUGAUUUCACCCCGUAUUGUUUGCUUUUAUUUCGAUUUAGUCCCCUUUUUAGCAUUUUUAUUAUUUUCUUCAUUAUUUUAAUGUAUUAUCAUCUUUUAUUAUUUAUUAUAUUAUUAUUAUUAUUAUUAUUAUUUUACAAUUUCAAAUAUGUAUAUAUAUAUGUGAAUAAGUUUUUAUAAUAUAUGUAUGUUUUUUUAUCCGUAUAUAUAUAUAUGCACAUUGUUUUAUCUUAGAAUUUUUUUAUGUACAUAUCUACGUUCUUAUAAUGUACAUGUUUAUAUUUUAUAUAUAUUUUUAUAUAAUCUAUUUAUAUAUGUAAAUACUUAUAUUUUCAUGUUUUAUAAUUCAUAUAUAUAUCCUUUAUUUAUUCUCUUCAUUUAUUUAUUUAUGAACAUAUUUGUUGUUAUUUUAUCUUGCUUUAGUUUUGUCUAUUUAGUAUUUAUCAUGAUGCCUGCACAAUUACUUUUAUAUUAUUCUUAUUACUAAUUUAUAUUUCGUUUUGCUCGUAAUUAUUUUAUUUACAUUAUCAUCAUUAUCAUCAUCAUUCCAUCACACUCAUUUUUAUUUAGAUUUCAAAAAAAAAAGAAAUUUUAAAAAAUAUAAGUAAUACUCGGUAUUUUGGAUCUUCGAAAAAAUCGAGCCCUAAUGUAUUGGGUCCCGAUUUUCUUCGUUGAAUUUAAAUAAUCGAGAUUACUCUUUUAAAAAUGAUAAAAAGCUCGUUAUCGAGAAUUCAAUACGUUGUGUCCUAAUGUAUUGGAUGUGACACGUUGUUUUCUCGAGACGAAGAUUUUUCGAAAUAAAUGUAAUAUUCAAUGUUUAAUAUUUUGAUAAAUUGUGCCCUAAUGUAUUGGGUUGCGAUUUUUUUCAUUUAAUUUAAACAAUUGAAUAUUCUUUUGAACUUUAUUACACGAAUCUUUUCAAACUCAAGUUUUAAAUGAUAUCGGGAAUUAAAAAAGGAUCGUGUCCUAACUUACUGGUCGUGAUCCUUUUUUUAUCCAAGAUAGUUAAAUAUCUUUUGAACAAGCAUUUUCAUUCGCGUAUUGGGAAUUCGAGACAUUGUGUCCUAACUUACUGUAUAUGAUUCUCUUUCUCGAAUAACGUAAAACAUGCCCUUUCCCCAAAUUUUUAUUUAAUACAAGGAUCGUAUUUUUAAUUUUUCCAAGUUCUCGAUUUUCGACAUCAAGACAUUAAGUAAUUGACUAGGUACCAAUUUUGGGCGUAUCGAGGGUGCUAAUCCUUCCUCGUACGUAACCGACUCCUGAACCCGUUUUUCUGAAUUUCGUGGACCAAACUUGUUGUUUUAAUAAAAUCAAACCGUUUAUUAAAAACAACCACUUUUCGAGGUGAUCCGAUCACACCUCAUAAAAAAAGGAUUGGUGGCGACUCCCGUUUCAUUUUUUAAAACCCAAGUCGACCCCUUUUUUCAUCCAAAAAAUGGUGUCAACAGCUUGGCGACUCCGCUGGGGACUUUUUUUAAAAAUAAGUGAGUCGAGCCAUGAGUUGAUUACUUUUUGUCUUUUUGUCGAAAAUUGAAAAUUUGGUUUAAAUUUACGAUCCUUUCAUGGCAUUUCAUUCUUCAUUAUAAUAUUCAUCAUUGUGGUUUAUAAUUGCUCUGUUUGUUUAAAUUUUGGUAUCUUUUGCAUUGCAUUGCAUGACCUAUGGUCACACCCUUUUAAGUGGGAGUGAGAAGCUACUCCUUCGUGAGGUUUUCACCUCCGUGCAGGAUAGUGGAUCACUUUCGGGAUACAUCCGUACCUAUGUCUUUGUGAGAUUUUCAUCUCCGUGCAGCCAUAGGGAAAUGUAUUCCCCUGAACCGAACUCGGUCUGUAUGAGCCUAUAAUGGGUGAAGGUCGAGGAAUCUGCUGGUUCGGGUACCUUAACUUUAGAGCCAAACCUCAUAUAGUGGACUUAGGAACUUAGCCUAGAUAGAGCCACUCCAAACCCCUAGUAGUCACCCGAUUAGGUACUUUCUGUUCUCCUUGUUUAUUUUUGUACUAACCCCUUUUAUUGUGCUUUGAUUAUGAUUGCAUCGCAUCUGUAUCUGCAUCUUAGGAAAGAGACUACUAAAUUAGAAAGCUUGUCAUGGAAUACGGAUUCCUUGAUAAAGUGGAAAACAAUACGACUUCCCAAAUAUAUUCUGAGAAACACAAGAAGGGCGAUAAAAGAGUUCGUGAUCUUUACUUCGUGGCCAAAGGGUUCGAGACGAUUGUCCAAAAGCCUUCGACAAACUGACGAGCCUUAUGAAGAUGGGCAGAUGAUGGAUCGCGACCAAGAUCAAGAAAAUGAGCUAGCAAUAGCAUCUAUUAGCCAGAUUACCUCAAACAUGCGGAUGAAGAAAAAGACCGAUGUUGUUUCUUGGAAUAUGAGGGUGAGGUCGUAUAUGUAUCCAUUUUAUGUAAGGGAAUUUACUUUCUAGAAAAGUUUCCUAAAUGUAAUUGAAUCAGAAUCAACGUCUCUUUAGGCAUUCAUUUCAUGCGUUUGCAUUACAUUGUAUUAUAUGCGUUAAAAUCCAUUGAAAGAGUCUAAACGAGUAAAUUUAUUUCAGCUAACCUGGAAAACCAACCAACCAAACACCUUUACGAUAUCCAAGUAAAGACUAGAGAAAUGGAACGAAGGUUGGAAAAAUUAGAGCGAAUGCAGAUUCAGAUGCAGCAGCAAUUGACUGAAUUUCAACAGGAGAUGAGAGAUCAGAUUCUAGGAUUACAGAGAACCAUGAUAAGUCAGUUCAACCGAUUGCUAGCUGGAGAAAAAAGGGAGGACUCGAUGGACCACUCGGGGGUUGAUAAUGAGGAUUUUGCUUAUUCCCUAGAUUGUACUCCGAUAAGUGCACAGAUACAGCCAGAUGGGCGUUCACACGGGGCACCCUUUACUAUCAGAUCACAACGGUAUCAGACUGGUACAACAACACCAGUGGGUUGCUUGACGGACCCAAGGUCCAAAGUGAGGAACAAUUUUCCUGUUGCUCUCGACAACCUGGCUGAAACAAAGCAGGCGAGGGUGGAAUACCUAAGUACCACAAAGGCCCCAAGGAAGGAGGGGAAUAAAUGGGAUAAUGCGGGCAGGUAUAACAAGGGCCACCCAAAACCAAUCACUGCGGGCCGACCAAAGACAGAAACCACCAGCUAUCAGAGGUCUUCAAAGCAAGAAUCAGGAGUGAAACAAGGUACUGAGAACCUCCAGUUCACGCCAAUUCCGAUGACGUAUAAGGAGCUGUACCAAAAUUUAUUCAAUGCGCACAUCGUUUCCCCUUUCUACUCAAAACCUCCACAGCCUCCGUACCCCAAAUGGCAUGAUGCGAAUGCACAAUGCGAAUAUCAUGCGGGAAAUACGAGGCAUUCCAUAGAAAAUUGCAUCGCCUUUAAAAAGGUGGUUGAAAGGCUUAUCAGUAUAGGCAUUGUCAAAUUGGACGAUUUAUCUAGUACAGAAAACCCGCUACUCAAUCAUACGGAUAAUGAAAGGAAUGCGAUGAACGAAAAGAUGUUGGGAAACGUUCACAUCAGUGCCGAAUACGAAGAAGCAACCGGAGAAGAGAUCUUAUUAGAUGUUCGCCCUUAUAAACUUAGGAGUGUUCUAAAGAAGCCCCUGUAGUAUUUAGAGCUUACUCAGAGUAAUAUUCAAAACACACUUGUUGCUUUCAGCCUAGAGGCAACAAGAAGUCUUUUGUGAAAUAGGCUCAUGUCUGAACGCCGUUAUUUUAAUGAAAUGCAUCUUUGCGAUCUUUUAAACCAAUAUUCUGUCAUUUCUUAUGAAUGAUUAUUAUUUUUAUUCUUUUAUUCUUUCAUCCAAAUCAUUCUUUCAUUCAUUCAUAACCAUAUUGUGCAGAUAAUUAUUCUUAAAUUCAUACAUUCUUUGUAUAUUCUCUUGCACCUACAAUAGGUCCCUAGAUAUCAACGACAUGAAUGACACUGCUACAGACUUAGAAUCUCCUUUUGAGCGAGACAUGUGUUUAGAGGGAUCUCACGACUUUGAAGAUGACAUAGAUCGUAGCUUAUCUCCAAACUUGUUGAGGAUGGUAGAACAAGAGGAUAAAUAGAUCCUACCUCUCAAUGAAUCAUUAGAAAUUGUGAGCUUGGUGAAGGCUGGAAUUGACCUGACCACAGAAACGAAGCAAGACCUUGUUGAGUUACCUCUAGAGCUCAAAGAUGUCUUUGUAUAUCAUACCAGGGUAUGCCUCGAUUCUUAUAAUAAAACCUGCACAACAACAUGAUGUUAGAAAUUUACAGUGCGAACGAUGCAAUUCUUUGCCGGGGCAAUGCCUCUCUCAUUGAGUCAGCAUAGCUUUGCCCAUUUGAAGUCGAGUUUCCAUCCCUUCAAGAUGUUGAAGGAUUUUAUCCUGAUUAAAGAGGAAGAUUUAAAGUUUUCUGUCAUAGUUGCGUCCCAAAAGGGUUCUAUGAAACAAAUCUGGUACCAAAGAAGGUUUUUCACAAACAAUAUGAAAGUGGAAGAUGAAAGUGGAAGACUUUAGAAUAACAUUAAUUCUGGUCGAAAAACAUGACUAGGACUUGCCUGAUCUCAUGAGUUCAGACUCAAAAAAAAUCAAAAAAAAUCAAAAAAAAAAACAUUAAAAAACCAAAGAUAGGAAAAAAGGAGAAGAAAAAAAAAAGAAAAAGAAAAAGAAAAAAAAGAGGUCAAGGCGAAAACCCGCAAAGGGCGCUUUGACCAAAGGUGGAUCUGAGUUGAAAACCUGAAAAAGGGCGACUCAAAUUUUAAGCAAAACGAGGCAUGGACAUCACCAUUAUCGAAGACUUCUAAUGGGCAUUGCUUCAUUUUUUUGAGAGGCUACUUCAUGGAUCAAGGUCAUCCUAUACCGAUACAGAAUUUCAGAGAGGAUGGUAUUGGAAAAUGCAUUGAACUUAAAUGAUAGCACGAUAACUGAGGUCUGAAAUCAAUUCAAAAGCAGACACCACGUUUUGUCACCAAAUUACCUAGAGGUGAACAAGGACUGGCAUGAGAAGUUACCAUUUGCCCUCAUUGUUUGUCGAACAUCUGUACUGGGGCAACACCUCCCUUUUUGGUUUACAGGAUUGAUGUAGUUUUACCUAUUAAAAUCCCCUCAUUGCUUGUUGGAGGGAUCCAAUCGCGAUGUGAUCAGUUGGCCCUAGGAAAAGGGUUAAAAGCUAUUCAUCAGAGUCGCAUGUACCAGAAAUAAAUGAUAUGAGCCCACAAUAAACAGGCUCGUCUCAGAUUCCACGAGAGGGCUAGAUGUUAAAAAAGAUUCUUCCUUAACGAAAGGAUUCCAAAGGGAAAUGAAUGCCAAACCAGGAAUGUCCCUAUGUUGUAAAGAAGACCAUUUUCAGAGGAGCACUGAUCCUGAGUGAGAUUGCUAAUCCUAUAAACUCGGAUCCAGUCAAGAAACACUUCGUUUAAAGAAAAAGGAAGGACCAAGGUGAAAACCUGCAAAGGGCACUUUGAGUCAAAAAAAAAAGAAAUGAGAAAAAUAAAAAUGAAAAAUGAAAAAAUGAAAAAGUAAAAAUGGAGAGGCUAAGGGGAAAACCCGCAAAGGGCACCUUAAGCCAAAGGGGAUUUGAGUUGAAAACCCGAAGGGCGGCUCAAUAUUGAUCAGAAUGGGGCAUGAAGUGAUCAGAUUGGGGCAUACAGUGAUCUUACUAUACCUAAAAGGGUAAGGCAACAUCUUGGGGCAUUGACAAAGUCCUGUAGAUCUCCUAAACACAUGUCAAACUCAGAAUGGUCUUCAGAAAGUUUGUACAGAGAAGUUCAAGCUGCGAUAUCUGGGGCACCUAACCUUCAUACUAUUUAUAUAUUGAAUAUGUUCCAAUCAAUUCCUCUUUUAUUCCUGCUACCCUUGAUAAUUCAUUCAUUUCGAGCUAUGCUCUCAAAUCAAUUCUAUUUUAUCCAUUGUUAUAUUCUUUUUUUUUGCAAGCAUGUUGCAUUGGAAUAAUGAUUAAUGGACUAAUAAUACUUUCACAAUGGAAGUUUUGCAUAUUACUCUAGAAGUUUCUAAAUAAUAUAGGAACCUGAAACAAGACUAUUAUUUAGAAAGCACCAAGUUUAAAGGGUGAAAUAUCUAAGAAUGAAGAGUCUAAGUUAAGAUUAUCCCUUCGGAUUUUGUUGUCCAAACAUUGAUUGAACAAAAUGACAAGAUGCCGUGUUGGUGACAAAGCUUCAAUGAACAAACAAGCAAUGAUCACAAAGUGAUAAAAAAGGUUUUCUCGGAGAAGGAAAUUUUGCAAUUGUGCAUGAGCAUUUGUAAUGACACCUUGGGAAAGAGAUAAAGGGCCAAAGAGCUUCACAUUCUGUAUCCUUGAAUUACGAUAGGAGAAGAUUGAGGAAAGCCAUAUCUUUCUACCCUUGGGUUACAGUGAGAGAAUGAUGGUACAAAUUUUGGUGUCCCAGUGGAUAUAACUUUGAGGUUUACAGUUGGGGCAGCCUGGCUAAAUGUUUCUUCAGAAAGCACCAGUUGAGAAGGAAGGUGUUGUAACAUUUCAGUGACAAAGCCUUAAUAAACUUCGAGUAGGGAUAACCUAAGCGAGAUCAUUCUCGGAAAAAUAAAAUUUUGCAUUCAUGCAAACACCAUUCACACAUGUCUAGUUAGGAGCAUUUGAUUCAUUUUGAUCAUUCCAUCCUAAUCAUUAGGCAUAAUUAGGCUCAUUAUACAGGUCAUGUUCCCCAGAGAACAUGUCAGUGAAUAUUAGAGAUCUUAUCUCCCUGAAGUUGCAGUGGAGCAGACGAAAGAAAUCAAUCCUAUCUCCCUGAAGUUACAGUGGAGCGGGUUAAAACCACAGAUCUUAUCUCUCUGAAGUUGCAGUAGAACAGAUCGCAUCCAGUCUUAUCUCCCGGAAGUUGCAGUGGAGCAGACGAAAGAAAUCAAUCCUAUCUCUCUGAAGUUGCAGUAGAGCGGAUUAAAACCAUAGAUCUUAUCUUUCUAAAGUUGCAGUAGAGCAGAUCACAUCCAGUUUUAUCUCCUUGAAGUUGUAGUGGAGCAGACGAAAGAAAUCAAUCCUAUCUCCCUGAAGUUGCAGUGGAGCGGGUUAAAACCAUAGAUCUUAUCUCUCUGAAGUUGCAGUAGAGCAGAUCGCAUCCAGUCUUAUCUCCCUGAAGUUGCAGUGGAGUAGACGAAAUAAAUCAAUCCUAUCUCCCUGAAGUUGCAGUGGAGCGGGUUAAAACCAUAGAUCUUAUCUCUCUGAAGUUACAGUAGAGCAGAUCACAUUCAGUCUUAUCUCCCUGAAGUUGUAGUGGAGCAGACGGAAGAAAUCAAUCCUAUAUCCCUGAAGUUUCAGUGGAGCGGGUUAAAACCAUAGAUCUUAUCUCUCUGAAGUUGCAGUAGAGCAGAUCGCAUCCAGUCUUAUCUCCCUGAAGUUGCAGUGGAGUAGACGAAAGAAAUCAAUCCUAUCUCCCUGAAGUUGCAGAGGAGCGGGUUAAAACCAUAGAUCUUAUCUCUCUGAAGUUGCAGUAGAGCAGAUCACAUCCAGUUUUAUCUCCCUGAAGUUGCAGAGGAGCGGAUUAAAACCACAGAUCUUAUCUCUCUGAAGUUGCAGUAGAGUAGAUCGCAUCCAGUUUUAUCUCCCUGAAGUUGCAGUAGAUUAGACGAAAGAAAUCAAUCCUAUCUCCCUGAAGUUGCAGUGGAGCGGAUUAAUACCACAGAUCUUAUCUCUCUGAAGUUGCAGCAGAGCAGAUCGCAUCCAGUCUUACUUUCCUAGCGUUGCAGUGGAACAGAUUGAAGCUACAACAACGGAUCUUACUUUCCUAGCGUUGCAGUAGAACAGAUUGAAGCUACAACAGCGGAUCUUACUUCCCUGACAUUGCAAUUAAAAAUAUUGAAGCUACAACAGCAGAUCUUACCCCCCUGAUGUUGCAGUGGAAUAGAAUAAAACCAUGAAUCACAUCCCCCUGAAGUUGCAACAGAGUGGAUUGAAGCUAUAAGACGCAUCUUUCUAAAAUGCAGACGAAUGGAUCGAAGCAACAAGAUAGUGGGUUGAAAUAAAGCUACUUGAAGUGAAUCGUCAAGAGAGGUCAAGACUCGGCGAGAUCGGGCAAAAUUGGGCUUUCUUAGUCUUUGCUCUGUUCUCGUUACACGACAACGAGCAAAGAGGGGCAGCUGUACAAGCCCAAUUUCGCUCGGGCCUAAACAAACCUAAACCUACCCAGACCCAAAUACUAACCCGAUUCAAAACAAGCCCAAACAUUAUGGCCCAAACCCAACAAAGACUAGGGUUUCAGAACCUUAGCCCCUUCCACAUGCGCCGUACCAUUCUGACCCCUGCUCUGCCAUCGCCGCACAUCCCAUCAGCGCCGACGCCGUUCACUCCUACCUUUGACGCCGCACCUACUCCUGCAAAAACAGAUGCCAAACAGAGAGAAACAAGCAAAGGCACAGGAGACAAUAGCAAAGAUCAAUUUAUUUUUAUUUUAUUUUAUUUCGGGUAUAAAAAUGAUUUGUAAACCGAAAUGGGGGG
RNAcentral lists this long non-coding RNA (9536 nucleotides) under Gossypium barbadense (sea-island cotton). RNAcentral's name for it is "long non-coding RNA (GBAR_LNC016676)". Lineage: Eukaryota; Viridiplantae; Streptophyta; Magnoliopsida; Malvales; Malvaceae. The record is from RNAcentral.